UUUGGCUUCUUUUACAGCCCUAUUAGAACCAAGUUCUUUCCACAUCUGACAAAUGAUUAUUAUGAAAACAUCUUCUGGUAUCUUCACACAGCUGUUAUAGUAAUAUCAGUUGACAGUCAACCACAGAUCAACUUUAUGGGAGUCCAGGAGUCCAGCAGGGAAGUUCUAGCACACUGUUUGAGCAAAAAAAUCUAAGAAUAAAUGUAGUGAAUAAGGUGUAUCUUGUGCCAGUGACAUUGGUAACAGCUGGAAAGAAUUUAUUUCCUUGAUUGACUAAGUAGAAGAUGGUUCCCAGAACUGAUCUUUAAGUCUAAAUAAGCAUCCCCAGAGGUGUUGGAGUUUUCAACAAAGUGAGUAUCCUGAGGAGAAAAUAAAGGGAUAGAGACAUUUAAUUUGAAAAUUAAAGGGAAUAUGACAUUAUUUUGUGUCUUAGGCUGAUGAUAAGAAGUG
Neofelis nebulosa (Clouded leopard) is the source of this 450-nucleotide long non-coding RNA. RefSeq lists it as uncharacterized. The transcript has 3 exons. The record is from RefSeq and is a predicted model, not a curated record. Lineage: Eukaryota; Metazoa; Chordata; Mammalia; Carnivora; Felidae.